UGGGCAGGGAAUAUAUCGGCAUUGUGCUAUGAUUAAUGCACUAUGUUUCGAAGAGUGCUCUGCAAAAGCAAUGCUAGAAAGAUAUGCAGUUCUGUUUUAAUUUUGAGUAUUAAACCUGUCCAUAAUCAUCAUCCCGACAACA
This is a small nucleolar RNA of Pistacia vera, 142 nucleotides long. RefSeq annotates it as small nucleolar RNA snoR135. NCBI's taxonomy places the organism in Eukaryota, Viridiplantae, Streptophyta, Magnoliopsida, Sapindales, Anacardiaceae. The record is from RefSeq and is a predicted model, not a curated record. The transcript has a single exon.